AUUGAACGCUGGCGGCAGGCUUAACACAUGCAAGUCGAACGGUAACAUAAAGAAGCUUGCUUCUUUGAUGACGAGUGGCGGACGGGUGAGUAAUGCUUGGGAAUCUAGCUUAUGGAGGGGGAUAACUACGGGAAACUGUAGCUAAUACCGCGUAGAAUCGGGAGAUGAAAGUGUGGGACCUUCGGGCCACAUGCCAUAGGAUGAGCCCAAGUGGGAUUAGGUAGUUGGUGAGGUAAAGGCUCACCAAGCCGACGAUCUCUAGCUGGUCUGAGAGGAUGACCAGCCACACUGGGACUGAGACACGGCCCAGACUCCUACGGGAGGCAGCAGUGGGGAAUAUUGCGCAAUGGGGGCAACCCUGACGCAGCCAUGCCGCGUGAAUGAAGAAGGCCUUCGGGUUGUAAAGUUCUUUCGGUAGCGAGGAAGGCAUUUAGUUUAAUAAACUGGAUGAUUGACGUUAACUACAGAAGAAGCACCGGCUAACUCCGUGCCAGCAGCCGCGGUAAUACGGAGGGUGCGAGCGUUAAUCGGAAUAACUGGGCGUAAAGGGCACGCAGGCGGUGACUUAAGUGAGGUGUGAAAGCCCCGGGCUUAACCUAGGAAUUGCAUUUCAUACUGGGUCGCUAGAGUACUUUAGGGAGGGGUAGAAUUCCACGUGUAGCGGUGAAAUGCGUAGAGAUGUGGAGGAAUACCGAAGGCGAAGGCAGCCCCUUGGGAAUGUACUGACGCUCAUGUGCGAAAGCGUGGGGAGCAAACAGG
Molecule: ribosomal RNA, 759 nt
Filed under: Parahaemophilus parainfluenzae
Lineage: Bacteria; Pseudomonadati; Pseudomonadota; Gammaproteobacteria; Pasteurellales; Pasteurellaceae
Description: Haemophilus parainfluenzae bacterial SSU rRNA
Rfam family: Bacterial small subunit ribosomal RNA
Source: RNAcentral